Molecule: ribosomal RNA, 253 nt
Filed under: uncultured bacterium
Lineage: Bacteria
Description: partial 16S ribosomal RNA
Rfam family: Bacterial small subunit ribosomal RNA
Source: RNAcentral
UACGUAGGGACCGAGCGUUGUCCGGAAUCAUUGGGCGUAAAGAGCGUGUAGGCGGCUUGCUAAGUCUUGCGUGAAAUCUCGGGGCUCAACCCCGAGCGGUCGUGAGAAACUGGCAGGCUAGAGUGCGGGAGAGGAGAGUGGAAUUCCUGGUGUAGCGGUGAAAUGCGCAGAUAUCAGGAAGAACACCCGUGGCGAAGGCGGCUCUCUGGAACGCAACUGACGCUGAGACGCGAAAGCGUGGGGAGCAAACAGG